UAACGGCGAGUGAAGCGGCAACAGCUCAAAUUUGAAAUCUGGCGGCCUCUGUGUGCCGUCCGAGUUGUAAUUUGAAGAGGAUGCUUUUGGCGAGGCGCCUUCCGAGUGCCCUGGAACGGGACGCCACAGAGGGUGAGAGCCCCGUAUGGUUGGACGCCGAGCCUCUGUAAAGCUCCUUCGACGAGUCGAGUAGUUUGGGAAUGCUGCUCAAAAUGGGAGGUAAACCCCUUCUAAAGCUAAAUACUGGCCAGAGACCGAUAGCGCACAAGUAGAGUGAUCGAAAGAUGAAAAGCACUUUGAAAAGAGAGUUAAAUAGCACGUGAAAUUGUUGAAAGGGAAGCGCUUGCGACCAGACUUGUGCCCGUCGAAUCAGCCGCCGCUCGCCGGCGGCGCACUUCGGCGGGCUCAGGCCAGCAUCAGUUCGCUGCAGGGGGAGAAAGGCGGCGGGAAUGUGGCUCUUCGGAGUGUUAUAGCCCGCCGCGCAAUACCCCUCGGCGGACUGAGGACCGCGCAUCUGCAAGGAUGCU
RNAcentral lists this ribosomal RNA (527 nucleotides) under Scedosporium apiospermum. RNAcentral describes it as "eukaryotic LSU rRNA". It matches the Rfam family "Eukaryotic large subunit ribosomal RNA", at positions 84 to 627 of the family's 3401-position model. The record is from RNAcentral. Lineage: Eukaryota; Fungi; Ascomycota; Sordariomycetes; Microascales; Microascaceae.